GUGGGGAAUAUUGGACAAUGGGGGGAACCCUGAUCCAGCCAUGCCGCGUGUGUGAAGAAGGCCUUUUGGUUGUAAAGCACUUUAAGCGAGGAGGAGGCUACUCUAGUUAAUACCUAGGGAUAGUGGACGUUACUCGCAGAAUAAGCACCGGCUAACUCUGUGCCAGCAGCCGCGGUAAUACAGAGGGUGCGAGCGUUAAUCGGAUUUACUGGGCGUAAAGCGUGCGUAGGCGGCUUUUUAAGUCGGAUGUGAAAUCCCUGAGCUUAACUUAGGAAUUGCAUUCGAUACUGGGAGGCUAGAGUAUGGGAGAGGAUGGUAGAAUUCCAGGUGUAGCGGUGAAAUGCGUAGAGAUCUGGAGGAAUACCGAUGGCGAAGGCAGCCAUCUGGCCUAAUACUGACGCUGAGGUACGAAAGCAUGGGGAGCAAACAGGAUUAGAAACCCGGGUAGUCC
Molecule: ribosomal RNA, 451 nt
Filed under: uncultured bacterium
Lineage: Bacteria
Description: partial 16S ribosomal RNA
Rfam family: Bacterial small subunit ribosomal RNA
Source: RNAcentral